Molecule: unclassified non-coding RNA, 148 nt
Organism: Pongo abelii (Sumatran orangutan)
Lineage: Eukaryota; Metazoa; Chordata; Mammalia; Primates; Hominidae
Rfam family: Metazoan signal recognition particle RNA
About the family: The signal recognition particle (SRP) is a universally conserved ribonucleoprotein.
Source: Ensembl
GCCAGGCAUGGUGGCGUGUGCCUGUAAUCCCAGCUACUCAGGAGGCUGAGGCAGGAGAAUCGCUUGAAUCCAGGAGGCAGAGAUUGCAGUGAGCCAAGAUGGCGCCACUGCAUUCCAGCCUGGCCAACAGAGUGAGACUUUGUCUCAA